AAAUACGUUAUUCAAGAGCAAGCUUCUAACUUAGCCCUUAAGCGAUGAAAUUUCGUUUGUAUUUCU
Molecule: transfer RNA, 66 nt
Filed under: Distenia punctulatoides
Lineage: Eukaryota; Metazoa; Arthropoda; Insecta; Coleoptera; Cerambycidae
Description: tRNA-Ser
Source: RNAcentral